RNAcentral lists this ribosomal RNA (467 nucleotides) under uncultured bacterium. RNAcentral's name for it is "partial 16S ribosomal RNA". It matches the Rfam family "Bacterial small subunit ribosomal RNA", at positions 28 to 507 of the family's 1533-position model. The record is from RNAcentral.
GACGAACGCUGGCGGCGUGCUUAACACAUGCAAGUCGAACGGAAAGGCCUAGCUUGCUGGGUACUCGAGUGGCGAACGGGUGAGUAACACGUGGGUGAUCUGCCCCUGACUUUGGGAUAAGUCUGGGAAACUGGGUCUAAUACCGGAUAUUCAUUUUUCCUCGCAUGGGGAUUUGUGGAAAGCUUUGGCGGUUGGGGAUGGGCCGGCGGGCUAUCGGCUUGUUGGUGGGGUAAUGGCCUACCAAGGCGACGACGGGUAGCCGACCUGAGAGGGUGAUCGGCCACACUGGGACUGAGAGACGGCCCAGACGCCUACGGGAGGCAGCAGUGGGGAAUAUUACACAAUGGGCGCAAGCCUGAUGCAGCGACGCCGCGUGAGGGAUGACGGCCUUCGGGUUGUAAACCUCUUUCAGCUCCGACGAAGCGCAAGUGACGGUAGGAGCAGAAGAAGCACCGGCCAACUACGUG